UGGGGAAUAUUGGACAAUGGGCGAAAGCCUGAUCCAGCAAUACCGCGUGUGUGAAGAAGGCCUUAGGGUUGUAAAGCACUUUCAAUUGGGAGGAAAACCUNYCGGYCAAUACCCGRUAGCUUGACAUUACCUUUAGAAGAAGCACCGGCUAACUCCGUGCCAGCAGCCGCGGUAAUACGGAGGGUGCGAGCGUUAAUCGGAAUUACUGGGCGUAAAGCGUGCGUAGGCGGUUCGUUAAGUCAGAUGUGAAAGCCCUGGGCUCAACCUGGGAACUGCAUUUGAAACUGGCGGACUAGAGUUUAGUAGAGGGGAGUGGAAUUUCAGGUGUAGCGGUGAAAUGCGUAGAUAUCUGAAGGAACACCAGUGGCGAAGGCGACUCCCUGGACUAGAACUGACGCUGAGGUACGAAAGCGUGGGUAGCAAACAGGAUUAGAUACCCUGGUAGUCCACGCCGUAAACGAUGUCRACUAGCCGUUGGYCCUAUUUACAGGRUUAGUGGCGCAGCUAACGCAUUAAGUCGACCGCCUGGGGAGUACGGCCGCAAGGUUA
RNAcentral lists this ribosomal RNA (549 nucleotides) under uncultured bacterium. Its description in RNAcentral is "bacterial SSU rRNA". It matches the Rfam family "Bacterial small subunit ribosomal RNA", at positions 355 to 896 of the family's 1533-position model. The record is from RNAcentral.